GGAACGGGAGCACGGCGGCACGGCCAGAGGUCUCCGCUCAGCUUCUGCCGCUUGAGUUCUUGUUCCAGCUUGAGCUCACUUCACAGGGGAUGGAUACAGACGGGGAAAGAGAAGCGCUUCUUCAGUUUGGAAUCUACGGGACAGGAAAUAAUUAUCAAUCAAUCUCCAAUCAUAAGUACCCAAAGUUCAAAUGACAAUACUACACAGGAGUUGCAUAAUAAUACACCUCCUUUUCGCGAAACACCAGCUAUUACCAUGGACAAAGACAGGCUCGGCCACUCUACAGCAAAAAGAAGUAUUGAAUUUCCAGAAUAUGAACCUACAAACAAAGAAACGUAACUGAAAAUGAAAAAUUUACAGUAAAUUAUUAUUCAAUUUCUCAACAAUACAAUUUUUUACAUGCCACAGUGGAAAAUGUGUAGAUUAUCCCGCUAGAGAACUUGAUCUUCUGUCAAACGACCUAAGCAAGAGUAUGUACAUCUCCUCAUAUCAAAUACCAAAAAUCUCAUUUGCCAUUCUCAUUUUUGAUCCUCAAACUGCAUUUCAGGCAACACGGCUGCAGCAGACACCUAAGAAAGACACGAGGAUAAACAGUAAAAUAACAUAAGUACCAUCAAUUUUCAUAUCCAUGCAAAAUUAUCCAAAAGUUCAGUAUAUAUUGUAAACACGAACACACAAGCAUUACCUUUUUAAUACUUCUGAUUUCUUAAACCACAUGCAGGGCACCAUCAUGUAUUGUUCGUUUGAAAAUAGUUAUCACUUCUCUAUCGAUAUUUCCAGCACCAUGUUUGUCCCUGCAAAAAUGUAUGUGCAACGAGGUGUCAAGUGUCAAUGCUGGU
Molecule: non-coding RNA, 839 nt
Organism: Lolium perenne
Lineage: Eukaryota; Viridiplantae; Streptophyta; Magnoliopsida; Poales; Poaceae
Source: RefSeq, a predicted model, not a curated record